UUAAACUAAGAAUAUAUAGGGUAGAGUUUUAUAUUCAAAAAUUAAUAUAAGAUGAAGAUAUAAAUAAAUAUUUAUAAAUUAGACUUUUUAGUGGCCAUAUUAUUAAAGUAUUUUAACUAUUAAAAUAAAAAAAGUUUUAUUUUUAUUCUCUUUUUUUUAGUAGAAUAUAUUUUAUAUCAAAAAUAAAUUAGAAAUAAUGAAAAUAUUAGUAGAAAAAAAAUAUUAUUUGUAUAAAUAUAAAUUAAUAAAUAAAAUUUAAUAGAAGGGAAAGAAAAAUUAAAGGAACUCGGCAAUUUUUUUUCUUGCCUGUUUAACAAAAACAUGUCUGUAUGAAGUUAUAUAAAGUCUGGCCUGCCCAUUGAAUAAAUUUAAAAGGCCGCGGUAUAUUAACUGUGCAAAGGUAGCAUAAUCAUUAGCUUUUUAAUUGAAGGCUUGUAUGAAUGGUUGGACAAAGUAAAGGCUGUCUUUAAUUUUAUUUUUUGAAUUUAACUUUUAAGUGAAAAGGCUUAAAUGAAUUUAAGGGACGAUAAGACCCUAUAAAUCUUUAUAUUAAAUUGUUAUUUUGAAAUUUAAUGGUUUGUUUAAAUAAAUAAGAAAACAAAAAAUAUUUUGUUGGGGUGAUGAGAAUAUAUAAAUAACUGUUCUUAUUUUAUACAAAGUUAUUUGUUUAAGAUUAGUAGAUCCUUUAUUUAAGAUUAAAAGUUUAAGUUACUUUAGGGAUAACAGCGUUAUUUUUUUUGAGAGUUCUUAUCGAAAAAAAAGUUUGCGACCUCGAUGUUGAAUUAAAAUUUCUCUACGGUGUAGAAGUUGUAGAAGAGAGUCUGUUCGACUUUUGAAGUUUU
RNAcentral lists this ribosomal RNA (842 nucleotides) under Paramunida longior. RNAcentral's name for it is "partial 16S ribosomal RNA". The stretch from base 263 to 510 matches the Rfam family "Archaeal large subunit ribosomal RNA", at positions 1787 to 2143 of the family's 2987-position model. The record is from RNAcentral. Lineage: Eukaryota; Metazoa; Arthropoda; Malacostraca; Decapoda; Munididae.